Molecule: ribosomal RNA, 720 nt
Filed under: Microbacterium sp.
Lineage: Bacteria; Bacillati; Actinomycetota; Actinomycetes; Micrococcales; Microbacteriaceae
Description: bacterial SSU rRNA
Rfam family: Bacterial small subunit ribosomal RNA
Source: RNAcentral
UAAGUGACGCUGGCGGCGUGCUUACACAUGCAAGUCGAACGGUGAACACGGAGCUUGCUCUGUGGGAUCAGUGGCGAACGGGUGAGUAACACGUGAGCAACCUGCCCCUGACUCUGGGAUAAGCGCUGGAAACGGCGUCUAAUACUGGAUAUGUGACGUGACCGCAUGGUCUGCGUUUGGAAAGAUUUUUCGGUUGGGGAUGGGCUCGCGGCCUAUCAGCUUGUUGGUGAGGUAAUGGCUCACCAAGGCGUCGACGGGUAGCCGGCCUGAGAGGGUGACCGGCCACACUGGGACUGAGACACGGCCCAGACUCCUACGGGAGGCAGCAGUGGGGAAUAUUGCACAAUGGGCGGAAGCCUGAUGCAGCAACGCCGCGUGAGGGAUGACGGCCUUCGGGUUGUAAACCUCUUUUAGCAGGGAAGAAGCGAAAGUGACGGUACCUGCAGAAAAAGCGCCGGCUAACUACGUGCCAGCAGCCGCGGUAAUACGUAGGGCGCAAGCGUUAUCCGGAAUUAUUGGGCGUAAAGAGCUCGUAGGCGGUUUGUCGCGUCUGCUGUGAAAUCCCGAGGCUCAACCUCGGGCCUGCAGUGGGUACGGGCAGACUAGAGUGCGGUAGGGGAGAUUGGAAUUCCUGGUGUAGCGGUGGAAUGCGCAGAUAUCAGGAGGAACACCGAUGGCGAAGGCAGAUCUCUGGGCCGUAACUGACGCUGAGGAGCGAAA